GCCUGUUUAUCAAAAACAUGGCUCCUUGUAAAAAAUAAAUAGGGAGUCGGACCUGCCCAGUGAAAAUUUUUAACGGCCGCGGUACCCUGACCGUGCAAAGGUAGCAUAAUCAUUUGCCUUAUAAUUGAAGGCUAGUAUGAAAGGUUUGACAAGAAUAUAGCUGUCUCUUUAUGAUUUGAUAGAAUUUUAUUUAUAGGUGAAGAAGCCUAUAUUAUAUUAAAAGACAAGAAGACCCUAUCGAGCUUUAAAAGAGUUAAUAGAUUUUUGCUUAAAUGACACUCAAAAAUCUGGCUAUUAAAAAUUUUGGUUGGGGCGACUAAGGAACAAAAAAAGCUUCUUUUAGAAGAAAGACAUUCAGGUAACGAUCCAGAAUUAUUCUGAUUAAAGAAAUUAGUUACCGUAGGGAUAACAGCAUAAUCUUUUUUGAGAGCUCUUAUUGAAAAAAAGGUUUGUGACCUCGAUGUUGGACCAGAAUAUCCUAAAGAUGCAGCAGUCUUUAAGGGUUGGUCUGUUCGACCAUUAAAAUUCUACGUGAUCUGAGUUCA
Molecule: ribosomal RNA, 545 nt
Filed under: Latiromitra crosnieri
Lineage: Eukaryota; Metazoa; Mollusca; Gastropoda; Neogastropoda; Turbinellidae
Description: partial 16S ribosomal RNA
Rfam family: Bacterial large subunit ribosomal RNA
Source: RNAcentral